AUCCAAUCUGAGUCAAACUGAAUUUAAUUUAGUUAGACUUGUUCCAAAAUUUUUUAUUCAAUCAAAUUGAGUCAAUUAGUAAUCUAAUUACUAAUUAAUUCUCUAUAAAUAGUAGAGUCUUAGUCCCAAUAGAACUCUCUCCAAGAGUCCCAGUCCUAGUAGGACUCAUCAUCAGAGUCAUAAUUUAAUUAGACUCUUCAGCCAUC
This 206-nucleotide long non-coding RNA is filed under the name Elaeis guineensis (African oil palm). Its description in RNAcentral is "long non-coding RNA (EGUI_LNC049461)". The record is from RNAcentral. Lineage: Eukaryota; Viridiplantae; Streptophyta; Magnoliopsida; Arecales; Arecaceae.